RNAcentral lists this ribosomal RNA (460 nucleotides) under uncultured bacterium. RNAcentral's name for it is "partial 16S ribosomal RNA". It matches the Rfam family "Bacterial small subunit ribosomal RNA", at positions 338 to 795 of the family's 1533-position model. The record is from RNAcentral.
CCUACGGGCGGCAGCAGUGAGGAAUAUUGGUCAAUGGGCGCGAGCCUGAACCAGCCAAGCAGCGUGAAGGAUGAAUGCUCUAAGUGUUGUAAACUUCUUUUGUAAGGGAAUAAAGUGAGGCACGUGUGCCCUUAUGUAUGUACUUUAUGAAUAAGCAUCGGCUAACUCCGGGCCAGCAGCCGCGGUAAUACGGAGGAUGCGAGCGUUAUCCGGAUUUAUUGGGUUUAAAGGGAGCGUAGAUGGGUUGUUAAGUCAGUUGUCAAAGUUUGCGGCUCAACCGUAAGAGUGCAAUUGAAACUGGCAGGCUUGAGUACAGGUGAGGUAGGCGGAAUGCGUGGUGUAGCGGUGAAAUGCAUAGAUAUCACGAAGAACUCCGAUUGCGAAGGCAGCUUACUAGACUGACACUGACAUUGAGGCUCGAAAGUGUGGGUAUCAAACAGGAUUAGAUACCCUUGUAGUC